GCUCAGAGCGAACGCUGGCGGCAGGCCUAAUACAUGCAAGUCGAGCGCGCCCUUCGGGGUGAGCGGCGGACGGGUGAGUAACGCGUGGGAAUAUGCCCUUCUCUAAGGAAUAGCCUCUGGAAACGGAGAGUAAUACCUUAUACGCCCUUUGGGGGAAAGAUUUAUCGGAGAAGGAUUAGCCCGCGUUAGAUUAGGUAGUUGGUGGGGUAAUGGCCUACCAAGCCUACGAUCUAUAGCUGGUUUUAGAGGAUGAUCAGCCACACUGGGACUGAGACACGGCCCAGACUCCUACGGGAGGCAGCAGUGGGGAAUCUUAGACAAUGGGCGCAAGCCUGAUCUAGCCAUGCCGCGUGAGUGAUGAAGGCCUUAGGGUCGUAAAGCUCUUUCGCCAGAGAUGAUA
RNAcentral lists this ribosomal RNA (400 nucleotides) under uncultured Alphaproteobacteria bacterium. RNAcentral describes it as "bacterial SSU rRNA". It matches the Rfam family "Bacterial small subunit ribosomal RNA", at positions 22 to 450 of the family's 1533-position model. The record is from RNAcentral. Lineage: Bacteria; Pseudomonadati; Pseudomonadota; Alphaproteobacteria.